Long non-coding RNA from Carassius gibelio (silver crucian carp), 1745 nucleotides. RefSeq lists it as uncharacterized. NCBI's taxonomy places the organism in Eukaryota, Metazoa, Chordata, Actinopteri, Cypriniformes, Cyprinidae. The record is from RefSeq and is a predicted model, not a curated record. The transcript has 5 exons.
GCUGCCGAAAUCAUGUUCAGUGUAACGUUAUGUGGGAUUAAUAAUUUCCCCUUUUCUCCCUCAAGUGGCAGGCUUGUAAAUUCUGUCAUCUGUUCAUUAUUGGUGUUGAUGGUGUUUUUCACAUGCAUGCUUUUUAAUGCUAGUUUAAUUCUCAAAUUGAUCUGAUACUUUCGUUUCACAAAAAGUAAACAAAUUGUUCACUUUCUUAGGGCCUGACAACCACCAGUUGAGUCCAUGAUUCAGGGAAGAGACAGUCUGGGCAGCAGCAACAAGACAACUAUUACAAGUAGAGAUGGGUUUCAAGAACUGACACAACCACAUAUCCUCCAAAUCAUCUCUGCGUGGAUGGCAGCAAGGAUCCAGGAUCAAGAGAUCAUUCUUCAUGGAGACUGUUCCACAGGAAGCAGUUUCUCCUGGAUUUGAGGGAAAGAUUAAAAACAAGGAGGUCUGGGAAUGACUGAAGGGAACUGACAGCAGUGAGGGAAGGAAGUAGUCACCAGAAUCUCAGAGAAGGAUGUUGACAGUGCAGGCCCAGGAUGAAGAAGAGGAGGAAGAACACGUUUAACAAUUUUCUAUAAGCUUGCCAUGUGUUAUAAUAAAAACAAUGAACAUGACUACAAUAAUAUGCUAAAUGUUAUUAAAAGAUUCCAGUUUGCAAGAAGUCUGAGUGUCUGACUCUACACUAGAGGAACUCUUUUCUGAAGAAGAUCAGGUGCUGAGAAGAAGCCUUGUUCUACAGCACAACACUGCAUCAAGCCUCCUGUCCUUCCCUCAGAAGAGCCUGUCUUCCGCUGCUGGGGUAAGAAACACACUCUUCCUCUUCUCUAUCAGCUGUCCUGCACCUAACCCUGCCUCCUCAGCACUGUCUGAAAGAGUCUUCUCCACAGUCAGUAAUCACAGAUCACAGAUUCUUCUGAGAAAGUCGAUAUGCUCAUUUUCUUAAAAAAAUUGUUUUUUCGGGUGGGACAAAUAAUACAGGAGAGAUGCUAGAAAUCUCUAUAUUGUUCAUUUUUCAUAUCUUUACGCUUUAUGAAUGUUUUUUUUUCUGAGAAGCUCAAGAAUUAUGGUUCUUUGGUAAUUGUUAUAUUGUUUAGUUUUAUCCUCUGAUAGUGAGCACAGAGCCCUGAUCAUGACAUGCAAGAAAAAGAAAGAAAUCAUGUCCAUGAUUUACUAAUUCGUUCCCUCUAUGUACUAAAACAUGCACGAUUACUUUUACAUUUCAUUGAUUUGCUAAAUAGUAUGCACAAUUUACUAAUUCGUUAUCUUGAUGUAUAAAUAGUGUACACGUUUUAGCAAAUCGAGGGAAUGAAAUAGAAAAUCGUGCGCAUGAAUUAGCCUAAAUUUUUUCCUGCAUGUCGUGUAAUUAAAGCACAUCACCACCAGACAUUUAUACCAGGAGCCUCAUAUAUGACGCUCACAGUUUUACUUUGUGCAGUAUCUCUGUGCAGUAUCUGCUGAAUUGUUUCAUAUCUAUUUAUCAUGUAUUUUUUGUUGCACUAAAUUAUGUUGUAUCAAUAAGUUUACUGAUAAUUAUUUUUAAUUUUCACUAAUAACGUCAUUAACCAUCUCCCCAUCUUUAAGACAAAAAUGUUCUAUUGUUUAUAUUGUGUAAUCUAUGAAUUGAUGUGUUUAGUUUUCUGUGCUCAUAACAUUUUGCAUGUUUAAAGAACAGGUGCGAUGUUCAAAAUGUUUUGGCUUCGUAUUUGUACAAAGUAGUGCUGAAUAAAUAUUGAUUUGUGAAUGAA